AAAUUCCAUAAUGAUUUGAUAAAAGCGAGAUAAUUUUUGUAAUGUUGAAAGUUCGUUUCAGUAAUGUUGAAAUUUAUGUAUACAUAUAUAUAUAUCCAUUUGGUAAUAGAAAGGUUAAGCAGUCAACCUUUUCUUAACUAAAUUUCAUUGGAUUAUUUUGCAAUGGAGGUGUGUUUAAAAUGUGAAUGAAGUAAGGCAGCAAGGC
Molecule: long non-coding RNA, 205 nt
Filed under: Mytilus galloprovincialis (Mediterranean mussel)
Lineage: Eukaryota; Metazoa; Mollusca; Bivalvia; Mytilida; Mytilidae
Source: RNAcentral